RNAcentral lists this ribosomal RNA (150 nucleotides) under uncultured bacterium. RNAcentral describes it as "partial 16S ribosomal RNA". It matches the Rfam family "Bacterial small subunit ribosomal RNA", at positions 1352 to 1500 of the family's 1533-position model. The record is from RNAcentral.
GCAUACUGCCGUGAAUACGUUCCCGGGCCUUGUACACACCGCCCGUCACACCAUGAGAGUUGGGAAUACCCGAAGCCUGUGAGCCAACUUUUAAAGAGGCAGCAGUCGAAGGUAGAAUCAAUGAUUGGGGUGAAGUCGUAACAAGGUAUC